Molecule: long non-coding RNA, 1428 nt
Filed under: Canis lupus familiaris (dog)
Lineage: Eukaryota; Metazoa; Chordata; Mammalia; Carnivora; Canidae
Description: lncRNA (ENSCAFG00040021736.1)
Source: RNAcentral
AUGUGCAGCGCUCGCAGCCGCUUGGCCUCGUCGAUGAACGGCCGCUUCUCCGUCUCCGACAAAAGUUUCCACUCGGCGCCCAGGCGCUUGCUGAUCUCCGAGUUGUGCAUCUUGGGGUUCUCCUGGGCCAUCUUGCGCCGCUGCCCGCGGGACCACACCAUGAAGGCGUUCAUGGGCCGCUUGACGCGGUCCGGGCUGUUCUUCUGGUUGCCGCCCGCCGCCGCCGCGGUGGAGUUGCCGCCGCCGCCGCCGCCGCCGCCGCCCCCCGAAGUUUGCUGCGGGCCCGGCGGCUUCAGCUCCGUCUCCAUCAUGUUGUACAUGCGGGCGCUGUGCGCGGGCCCGGCCCGCCGGCGGCCGCCGACCCUCGGCCCGGCCGGGACUUUGGGGGGCCCGCGGGCGGGCGGGCGGGGGAGGAGGAGGAGGGAGGCGGGCGGGGGUGUCGCGAGCGCAGGGCUCCGCGAGAAAAAGCAGGCGAAGAAUAAUUUGGGGGAAGAAAAGAGAGAGAGAGAGAGAGAAGCAAACUGGAAUCGAGAUCAAAAAAAGCGCUUCCCUCCUCUUCUGGCCGAUCCUGCCGCCGCCGAUGAUUGUUAUUAUUAUUUUUUGGAAAGGCUUAAGCCUGGGGCUCAAACUUCUCUCCCUUUCUUUCUCUCUCCUCUUCUUUCUCUCAGUCCUAGUCUUAAAGAGGCAGCAAACUACUUUCCCCCUUUUGCAAACACUCUCUUCUCUGCCUUGACAACUCCUGAUACUUUUUUGAACAAGUUAAUAGACAACCAUCCAUGUGAUGGGGGCUGUCAGGGAAUAAAUGGGUUUCCGGCGACCAAUCAGCGCGCGGCGGCUCCUCCACUCGAGCCCGGCCUCGCCGCCGGGUUUUGCAUGAAAGGGGGCGGGGCCUGCCGCGCCGCAGGCCGCGCGGGGGAGGAGGGGGAGGGGGGAGGGGGGAGGGGGGGGGGGGGAGGGGGAGGCGGAGGGGGGAGGCGGCUCCCACAGCCAGCCUGCCAGCCACUGAGAAACCUUUGUAUCCCCUCUCGCAGCAACAGGUCACACCACACGCCUUUUCGAAGGAAGUGGGUAAACAGCACUAAGACUACGAUUCUUUCUUUCUUCUUCAAACUUCACGUUGAUUUACUUUUUUUGGUGCUGGCCGCGGAGUUGGGGAAGGGGCGCGAGGGCCCGCAGAGGUGGAGGGGCGGGGCGGGGGGGGCUCAGGGCGACGGUCCCACCAGGAUUUCAGGAAACAGGCGGCGCGAGAGUCGGUGUGUCCGGGUCUUCCCGCCCCGCGCGCCUCCCCGCGCCUCCCCGCGCCUCCCCGGGCUCGCGCUCCCGGCCCCUGCCCCGGCCCCGGCCCCGGCCCCUGCCCCUGCCCGGCCCCGGCCCCUCGCCCCUCCGGGCGCCGGCCCGGCUCCCCCCUUCCUCACUGUCCCGACCUGA